This 68-nucleotide transfer RNA is filed under the name Urocitellus parryii (Arctic ground squirrel). RNAcentral describes it as "Spermophilus parryii (Arctic ground squirrel) tRNA". It matches the Rfam family "tRNA". Rfam says of the family: Transfer RNA (tRNA) molecules are approximately 80 nucleotides in length. Their secondary structure includes four short double-helical elements and three loops (D, anti-codon, and T loops). Further hydrogen bonds mediate the characteristic L-shaped molecular structure. tRNAs have two regions of fundamental functional importance: the anti-codon, which is responsible for specific mRNA codon recognition, and the 3' end, to which the tRNAs corresponding amino acid is attached (by aminoacyl-tRNA synthetases). tRNAs cope with the degeneracy of the genetic code in two manners: having more than one tRNA (with a specific anti-codon) for a particular amino acid; and 'wobble' base-pairing, i.e. permitting non-standard base-pairing at the 3rd anti-codon position. The record is from Rfam by way of RNAcentral. RNAcentral also lists the same sequence under 1 other name. Lineage: Eukaryota; Metazoa; Chordata; Mammalia; Rodentia; Sciuridae.
GGGGAUGUGGCUCAGAGGUAAAGUGCUCGCCUAGCAUGCGAGAGGCCCUGGGUUCGAUCUCAGCACCA